UAAAGUGCGAUAUCUAGUGCGAUUUGCAUGAACCUGUGAGUCAUCGAGUUUUUGAACGCAACUUGCACCCGUAAGGGUAUGUCCCUUUGAGUAUAGAACCAAAAUAUAUGUUGGGUGAUGCUAAGGCGGAAGCUAGCAGCUCACCUUAAAGGUAGCGUUAAGGUUCAAAGGAACAUUAGUAGCCAUACUUCAGUGUGCAGUUAGUGUGUGAAGGUUACACACAGGCUGCUUAGCUGUUCUACUAAGAUCCUCUUAUAUCCUGUCUCAAAGGGGCAAGAUCACCCGCUGAACUUAA
RNAcentral lists this unclassified non-coding RNA (295 nucleotides) under uncultured fungus. RNAcentral's name for it is "sequence contains ITS1". The stretch from base 1 to 96 matches the Rfam family "5.8S ribosomal RNA", at positions 49 to 154 of the family's 154-position model. The record is from RNAcentral. Lineage: Eukaryota; Fungi.